GAUGAACGCUGGCGGCGUGCCUAAUACAUGCAAGUCGAGCGAACAGACGAGGAGCUUGCUCCUCUGACGUUAGCGGCGGACGGGUGAGUAACACGUGGAUAACCUACCUAUAAGACUGGGAUAACUUCGGGAAACCGGAGCUAAUACCGGAUAAUAUAUUGAACCGCAUGGUUCACUAGUUAAAGACGGUUUUGCUGUCACUUAUAGAUGGAUCCGCGCCGCAUUAGCUAGUUGGUAAGGUAACGGCUUACCAAGGCAACGAUGCGUAGCCGACCUGAGAGGGUGAUCGGCCACACUGGAACUGAGACACGGUCCAGACUCCUACGGGAGGCAGCAGUAGGGAAUCUUCCGCAAUGGGCGAAAGCCUGACGGAGCAACGCCGCGUGAGUGAUGAAGGUCUUCGGAUCGUAAAACUCUGUUAUUAGGGAAGAACAAAUGUGUAAGUAACUAUGCACGUCUUGACGGUACCUAAUCAGAAAGCCACGGCUAACUACGUG
This 497-nucleotide ribosomal RNA is filed under the name uncultured bacterium. RNAcentral's name for it is "partial 16S ribosomal RNA". It matches the Rfam family "Bacterial small subunit ribosomal RNA", at positions 28 to 507 of the family's 1533-position model. The record is from RNAcentral.